RNAcentral lists this ribosomal RNA (344 nucleotides) under uncultured bacterium. RNAcentral describes it as "bacterial SSU rRNA". It matches the Rfam family "Bacterial small subunit ribosomal RNA", at positions 8 to 334 of the family's 1533-position model. The record is from RNAcentral.
AGGGUUUGAUUCUGGCUCAGGAUGAACGCUGGCGGCGUGCUUAACACAUGCAAGUCGAGCGAAGCACUUAAGUUUGAUUCUUCGGAUGAAGACUUUUGUGACUGAGCGGCGGACGGGUGAGUAACGCGUGGGUAACCUGCCUCAUACAGGGGGAUAACAGUUAGAAAUGGCUGCUAAUACCGCAUAAGACCACAGUACUGCAUGGUACAGUGGUAAAAACUCCGGUGGUAUGAGAUGGACCCGCGUCUGAUUAGGUAGUUGGUGAGGUAACGGCCCACCAAGCCGACGAUCAGUAGCCGACCUGAGAGGGUGACCGGCCACAUUGGGACUGAGACACGGCCCAG